RNAcentral lists this ribosomal RNA (555 nucleotides) under Onygenales sp. 7R38-6. Its description in RNAcentral is "eukaryotic LSU rRNA". The stretch from base 205 to 358 matches the Rfam family "5.8S ribosomal RNA". The record is from RNAcentral. Lineage: Eukaryota; Fungi; Ascomycota; Eurotiomycetes; Onygenales.
UUCCGUAGGUGAACCUGCGGAAGGAUCAUUACAGUAGUCGCCCGGGUUGCCGCAAGGCCUCCCGGGUAACCUACCACCCUUUGUUUAUUACACUUUGUUGCUUUGGCAAGCCUGCCCUCGGGCUGCUGGCUCCGGCCGGCGAGCGCUUGCCAGAGGACCUAAACUCUGUUUGUCUAUACUGUCUGAGUACUAUAUAAUAGUUAAAACUUUCAACAACGGAUCUCUUGGUUCUGGCAUCGAUGAAGAACGCAGCGAAAUGCGAUAAGUAAUGUGAAUUGCAGAAUUCAGUGAAUCAUCGAAUCUUUGAACGCACAUUGCGCCCCCUGGUAUUCCGGGGGGCAUGCCUGUCCGAGCGUCAUUACAACCCUCAAGCUCAGCUUGGUGUUGGGCCCCGCCGCCCCGGCGGGCCCUAAAGUCAGUGGCGGUGCCGUCCGGCUCCGAGCGUAGUAAUUCUUCUCGCUCUGGAGGUCCGGUCGUGUGCUCGCCAGCAACCCCCAAUUUUUUUCAGGUUGACCUCGGAUCAGGUAGGGAUACCCGCUGAACUUAAGCAUAUCA